CCGAAACCCGAUACGAUGUGCCAGUUCCGGUCAUGGAGUCCUCCAUCUCAGACGAUGCCGACGUUAGUGUCUUCUGCGACGAAGAACCCGUAGUGGUUUAUGCGCAGGUAGAAGCUGGUACCUCCCGUGGCAAGUCCAAGUUGUUUGACAACCAAGGGUUUAGUUAUACAAUUAAGACAGAGAAGAAAACUACGAUUUGGAGGUGUUCCAAAAGAAGCGGACCAACACGAUGUCCGGCAACAGUAAUCCAAGAUGGUGAUACAUACCGACCAGGCUUAAAGAACCAUCUUCACCCAGCAGAACCCGGUAUACACACGGCUACCAAGAUAAAAGUUACAGCAAAGCAUGAAGCCAAAGGAAAUGUUUUUACCAAGUCAUGUUCCUCAAUAGCGGAGAGAGUUUAAUCCAGUGUCGGUUCUGCAGAAGAACCCAUUCAUAGCAGACCACCCAUGGCAGCACUUGUAAGGUCGCUACAAAGAACCCGACAGACUCUGCGACCAAAAGAUCCCACUGACGUGUCGUCAAGCCUUGACGAAGAUUUCAUCGAUCAUAGUGCACCGGGAUUUUAUCAAAAAAGAGUAAAAGUUGGGGAAAGGCGCCAUCACAUUUUUUGUACUGAUAGACAGAUGCAACUACUCGCACGCGCAAAAACUUGGUAUAUGGAUGCAACCUUUUGGGUGGUGAACAAGCCAUGGUCUCAGCUGUUUUCCAUCCACGCCUUCAUUAAGACUGGAGAGACCACCCGCAGUUACCAUUGGUGUUUUGUGUAAUGUCGGGUAAAAGCCAAGACGACUAUUAUAAGGUAAAUAGCACUUACUGAUUGAAUUACUAU
Long non-coding RNA from Patella vulgata (common limpet), 832 nucleotides. RefSeq lists it as uncharacterized. Lineage: Eukaryota; Metazoa; Mollusca; Gastropoda; Patellidae. The transcript is spliced from 4 exons. The record is from RefSeq and is a predicted model, not a curated record.